Molecule: transfer RNA, 84 nt
Filed under: bacterium
Lineage: Bacteria
Also listed under: 2 other names
Description: tRNA-Leu
Rfam family: tRNA
About the family: Transfer RNA (tRNA) molecules are approximately 80 nucleotides in length. Their secondary structure includes four short double-helical elements and three loops (D, anti-codon, and T loops).
Source: RNAcentral
GCCGCGGUGGUGGAAUUGGCAGACACGCAUGAUUCAGGUUCAUGUGGGAGCAAUCCCUUGGAGGUUCAAGUCCUCUCCGCGGCA